This 1266-nucleotide ribosomal RNA is filed under the name Klebsiella pneumoniae. RNAcentral describes it as "bacterial LSU rRNA". It matches the Rfam family "Bacterial large subunit ribosomal RNA", at positions 1683 to 2925 of the family's 2925-position model. The record is from RNAcentral. Lineage: Bacteria; Pseudomonadati; Pseudomonadota; Gammaproteobacteria; Enterobacterales; Enterobacteriaceae.
AAGGCGCUUGAGAGAACUCGGGUGAAGGAACUAGGCAAAAUGGUGCCGUAACUUCGGGAGAAGGCACGCUGGUGUGUAGGUGAAGUCCCUGCGGAUGGAGCUGAGACCAGUCGAAGAUACCAGCUGGCUGCAACUGUUUAUUAAAAACACAGCACUGUGCAAACACGAAAGUGGACGUAUACGGUGUGACGCCUGCCCGGUGCCGGAAGGUUAAUUGAUGGGGUUAUCCGUAAGGAGAAGCUCUUGAUCGAAGCCCCGGUAAACGGCGGCCGUAACUAUAACGGUCCUAAGGUAGCGAAAUUCCUUGUCGGGUAAGUUCCGACCUGCACGAAUGGCGUAAUGAUGGCCAGGCUGUCUCCACCCGAGACUCAGUGAAAUUGAACUCGCUGUGAAGAUGCAGUGUACCCGCGGCAAGACGGAAAGACCCCGUGAACCUUUACUAUAGCUUGACACUGAACAUUGAGCCUUGAUGUGUAGGAUAGGUGGGAGGCUUUGAAGCGUGGACGCCAGUCUGCGUGGAGCCAACCUUGAAAUACCACCCUUUAAUGUUUGAUGUUCUAACGUUGGCCCCUGACCGGGGUUGCGGACAGUGUCUGGUGGGUAGUUUGACUGGGGCGGUCUCCUCCCAAAGCGUAACGGAGGAGCACGAAGGUUAGCUAAUCCUGGUCGGACAUCAGGAGGUUAGUGCAAUGGCAUAAGCUAGCUUGACUGCGAGCGUGACGGCGCGAGCAGGUGCGAAAGCAGGUCAUAGUGAUCCGGUGGUUCUGAAUGGAAGGGCCAUCGCUCAACGGAUAAAAGGUACUCCGGGGAUAACAGGCUGAUACCGCCCAAGAGUUCAUAUCGACGGCGGUGUUUGGCACCUCGAUGUCGGCUCAUCACAUCCUGGGGCUGAAGUAGGUCCCAAGGGUAUGGCUGUUCGCCAUUUAAAGUGGUACGCGAGCUGGGUUUAGAACGUCGUGAGACAGUUCGGUCCCUAUCUGCCGUGGGCGCUGGAGAAUUGAGGGGGGCUGCUCCUAGUACGAGAGGACCGGAGUGGACGCAUCACUGGUGUUCGGGUUGUCAUGCCAAUGGCACUGCCCGGUAGCUAAAUGCGGAAGAGAUAAGUGCUGAAAGCAUCUAAGCACGAAACUUGCCCCGAGAUGAGUUCUCCCUGAGACUUUAAGUCUCCUGAAGGAACGUUGAAGACGACGACGUUGAUAGGCCGGGUGUGUAAGCGCAGCGAUGCGUUGAGCUAACCGGUACUAAUGAACCGUGAGGCUUAACCUU